UGGGGCGUAGCCAAGCGGUGAAGGCACCGGGUUUUGAUCCCGGCAUUCGGAGGUUCGAAUCCUCCCGCCCCAGCCA
This 76-nucleotide transfer RNA is filed under the name Candidatus Desulfatifera sulfidica. Its description in RNAcentral is "tRNA-Gln". It matches the Rfam family "tRNA". From Rfam's summary of the family: Transfer RNA (tRNA) molecules are approximately 80 nucleotides in length. Their secondary structure includes four short double-helical elements and three loops (D, anti-codon, and T loops). The record is from RNAcentral. Lineage: Bacteria; Pseudomonadati; Thermodesulfobacteriota; Desulfobulbia; Desulfobulbales; Desulfobulbaceae.